GGCCAUCCAGAUAGAGUUAUCAUAAUCCAGAGAUACAGACCAACAGGUGAGAUCUACCUGACAUACACUGACUUGUCAUUCCCUUAGCCAAAGUAGCUAUGGACCUACAUCUAUAUCUAAACAUCCAGCACAAUAAUACUCAGCCUCAUUCUCCCCUCUCUACAUCAUUUUUUUUUUUUUGUCAAGCGACCGCUGUGUACCUUUUCUCGCACACGAGACCAGAGCUUAUCGGACGAAAUUGUAUUCUCAAAAAGUCAAUCUGGCCUCGUGACUUAUUAGAGGAUAUUUUCUACCUCCAUGUCAAAAAAAAAAAAAAGAAGAAGAGAAAAGAAGAGAAAAAAAAAAUAAAUAAAAUAUAUAAAAAAUUACAAUAAAUCUAGUUCUAGGCUCUUGCACCCCUGGUUCAGAUAAUCGAUGAGAGCUUCCCACGAGCUGUUUUGAGCUAUAUUGUCAGUAUUCUUGAAUAUAUUUAUAUUGAAUCUGAAUCUGAAUCUACGGAGAGUCUUGCAAAUGUAACUAGAACAUUUUAUUUGUUGACACACUAAUGCCGUCCAUGCGGAAAAGGCAGUGCCCAAAAUCCCAAAAAAGAAAAACAAAAACAAAAAAAAUUCAAAACAGUUUAUCCUCAAACUCCAACCGGGGUGAGGGAAGGUUUCAGUGAAAUGAACCAAAUAUGUUAGGCUUUCCUGACACAUUCUAGGCGCUUCUCCUGCAGGCCGACCAACACCCGGGCAAGCCUGCCUAUCAAACAAAAGAAAUAGCUAACUAUCUAGACAAUCUACUUACAUGUAGCAGUAUCGAAUUUUCAAAAGAGCCCAAGUAUCUAAUUAAUUAAAUCUUGCUCCAAAGGAUAUUAAGAUAGGCCAAAAAGACAAACAAACUCCGGUUCAUCCCUUAAGUAUAAAUAAUAUAUGUUGCCAAAAGUAGAAAAAAUCAACUGCUAGAUUUCCCGCUCCUAAGUUGAAAGUAAAAGAAAUAGCAAACUGAAAAUGGCCUAGCAUAGAAAAACAACGUAUCGUCAUGAGAAAUAAUUAGGUAUGCCCGACAGAAGGUAGUCUGUUAGCCUGUUCUGUUCCGAUGCCAAUGAGGUUCCGAUCACCCGAAAAAUCCUGUUGUCCCCUUCGCAAUGCCUAUCAGCGACAACACGGUGACGUCAAUGAAUCAGUUGGAGUGGGGAUCUAGACAGAUCAGUCAGAUCAGUCCCAUAAAUGUUCUGGGGACACAUGUAUGGGCAGAAAGGUCUAGGGUGGGGAUGUGAUAGGAGGGCUUGCGGAUGUUGUAGUGGUUUGAUCACGACAGCCCCAGAACCAUCCAGGAGUCGAACAAGGAGUGCUGGUCGAUGUCGUGCUUGGAGCAGGGAAGGUCGUGGUACUCGUUGGAUCAUUACACCCGAACCAGCCAGGGCUUUCGCAAGUUGAAGUCGUGGAAGCAGUAGUCGUUGGAGGGGAGGUCGGAGUAAUCGUAGGCGCGGGAGACGCAGUAGGUACUGUACUUGUUGUGGUAGGAUCCUUGCAGCCGAACCACCCGGGAGUUUUGCAGGUCGAUGUAGACGUUGUCGACGUUGUCGCUGUUGUAGUAGGAGUCGUGGUUGGAUCCAAACAUCCCCACCACCCGGGAGUCUUGCAAGUUGACGUUCUCGUUCUGGUUGAAGUGCUCGUAGUGGUGGUAGUGGGCGUAGGUGUCGUUUCGUUGCUUUCGAAAAACUUCCAGUUGUUACAGUCCACGCAUUCUGUGAACGGGGCACAUGUAGGCACGUCAUCGUAUCUCUCAAUAACAUCUGUAAUUACUUCAUGGAUUCGGUGUGUCCCGAUUCCAACUCUCCAACCGAAAUCUUCCACUGUGUCGUAAGUGCACAAUUGGCCAGUAUGACAAGAGGACUCCAUAGCAUAGCCGCCAAGUGUACAUACAGACGUUGCGCCGUUACACGUUCCCAUAUAAAUGGGAUCGGCAGUGUGGCCAAAAUGGUAGGCACCAGUGUAAUUCCUUGCCUGGGGUGAAGAUGGAUCGGUUCCAGGAGGCGGAGGCAGUCCAAGGCGUGAAGCAGGUAGUGCUUCUGGCACAGCUUCAAACGUGACCACGGGCAAUCCGUAUGUCAUCCCUAGC
RNAcentral lists this small RNA (2103 nucleotides) under Histoplasma capsulatum. RNAcentral describes it as "hypothetical RNA". Lineage: Eukaryota; Fungi; Ascomycota; Eurotiomycetes; Onygenales; Ajellomycetaceae. The record is from RNAcentral.